RNAcentral lists this ribosomal RNA (253 nucleotides) under uncultured bacterium. RNAcentral describes it as "partial 16S ribosomal RNA". It matches the Rfam family "Bacterial small subunit ribosomal RNA", at positions 524 to 776 of the family's 1533-position model. The record is from RNAcentral.
UACGAAGGGGGCUAGCGUUGCUCGGAAUUACUGGGCGUAAAGCGCACGUAGGCGGCUUUCUAAGUCGGGGGUGAAAUCCUGGAGCUCAACUCCAGAACUGCCUUCGAUACUGGAGAGCUCGAGUCCGGGAGAGGUGAGUGGAACUGCGAGUGUAGAGGUGAAAUUCGUAGAUAUUCGCAAGAACACCAGUGGCGAAGGCGGCUCACUGGCCCGGUACUGACGCUGAGGCACGAAAGCGUGGGGAGCAAACAGG